Brassica napus (rape) is the source of this 1390-nucleotide long non-coding RNA. RefSeq lists it as uncharacterized. The transcript is spliced from 2 exons. The record is from RefSeq and is a predicted model, not a curated record. NCBI's taxonomy places the organism in Eukaryota, Viridiplantae, Streptophyta, Magnoliopsida, Brassicales, Brassicaceae.
GUUAAUAAGAUCAUAUAAGUAGAAAAUCUCGAUAACAAAUAUUUAUAUUAACAUCUAUAUCUAUUAUUAUAAAAGAGUUUUCUUCUCUCAUGUUGCGCCACCUAGGAUCCACGUCAGAAAGUAGUUUCUUGUGAACACGGCACGUGUCUCCCUUCACCGAAACUCUUCUUCUUUCUCCGACUUGGAAUUUUACCAGACGAAGGCGCAACGGUGUACUUACAUUCAAUUUAUGGCUUUUACGUUCUCAUUGACUCCAUCAAACCACGACUCCACUGACUCGCAUUCAAGAAGAAGAUCGUCUUCCUCGAAGCUUACGAAUCUGAACCUAUAUAUAUAGACUUCAGUGAAAUUUCAUCACUUUCUCAAUCUUGUUGACUUGAAGCCCGGCAGGCGGUUCCGUCAACGCUCUCUGAUUAUACAAUGUCCAUACGCCUCUGGUCUUCUCACACCUUGGUGUUUUCAUUCUUAUCUCUAUGAAAGAUUUAAGGUAUGAUCUUCUCUUAUUUUUUGAUCAAUCACCUAGAAUACUGAAAUUUGAUGUGUUUCACGAGAUGUAUGCUCAAGGGAGAUGAUUAUAUCCUACACGAGUCGCCCUCAAUUUAUAUGUGUUGAUGUUUUGAUUCAACUUUAGGCAUUUGAAGAAGCCAUCAUUGCGCUUCACACACUGGGAGAAAAUCCUACAAAGCCAACACUCUUAUUAUGCAGUUGUUGAGAGACAAUCUAACCCUCUGGACCUCUUCACAUCCUUUUUUUCCAGCACCUUGAUUCCCUACUUGACCUUCAAAGUCAUCUUUAAAGUUUUUUUCUACUUGCAGUUUCACUUUCUUCACUAUGAGAAUCUUGUCUUGAACCAUACGUGAUAUCAGUUCUCCAUCUACAAAAGAAAGAUGUGUUAGCUUGACAGUAUUCAAUUGGUUGAAAACUGUGAGUAACUUGAUCUUUUACGUUUUCUUCUUUCUAACAGUUUCUUUUGAUGACCAAAUGUGAUUACAUAAAAAUAAAUGUGAUUACAUAAGCAGUAUUAUUAUACAGCUCUUAGCUUUUGUUUCCAGCUCGGUGAGACAAUUGAUGAAACUUCUUGCAAACUUCUUGCACAUAUUGUUGUAUGCUGAUGUUAUCUUGAAUCGUUGGGUCUGCAGUCAGUGCAAGCACUUUCAGAUUUAUGAUAAGUUUUGUGAAAGGGGUUCUGAAGCUAAACAGAUGCAUGAAGACAUGAAAGACAUUCUGUUAAUUUCAAGGAUAUACAUGUAUUAUAAACCGACGUCCAAAAAUUGAGAACAAAUUUUGUAAUGCUCAGGUUUAAUUCUUAGAAUAUAAUAAUUUUGAUAAUUAGAGUUACACUUUUCGAAUGUAUGGUUUUAAAUAUAAACAAAAAUAGGUUAAAUUUAUA